AGCAGCCGCGGUAAUUCCAGCUCCAAUAGCGUAUAUUAAAGUUGUUGCAGUUAAAAAGCUCGUAGUUGAAUUUCGGGAUCAAUAUGUUGGUCGUGCCUUGGUACGUACUGGCAUUAUUGGUUUCUACCUUCUGAAGAACCUCGAUGUCAUUAAUUUGGUGUCUUGGGGAAUCAGGACUGUUACUUUGAAAAAUUAGAGUGUUUAAAGCAGGCUCGCGCUUGAAUACAUUAGCAUGGAAUAAUGAAAUAGGACGUUUGAUUCUAUUUUGUUGGUUUCUAGGAUUGACGUAAUGAUUAAUAGGGAUAGUUGGGGGCAUUAGUAUUCAAUUGUCAGAGGUGAAAUUCUUGGAUUUAUUGAAGACUAACUACUGCGAAAGCAUUUGCCAAGGAUGUUUUCAUUAAUCAAGAACGAAAGUUAGGGGAUCGAAGACGAUCAGAUACCGUCGUAGUC
Molecule: ribosomal RNA, 450 nt
Filed under: uncultured Glomus
Lineage: Eukaryota; Fungi; Glomeromycota; Glomeromycetes; Glomerales; Glomeraceae
Description: SSU rRNA
Rfam family: Eukaryotic small subunit ribosomal RNA
Source: RNAcentral